RNAcentral lists this ribosomal RNA (494 nucleotides) under uncultured bacterium. Its description in RNAcentral is "bacterial SSU rRNA". It matches the Rfam family "Bacterial small subunit ribosomal RNA", at positions 28 to 507 of the family's 1533-position model. The record is from RNAcentral.
GACGAACGCUGGCGGCGUGCUUAAUACAUGCAAGUCGAGCGAGAACCUGCCCGUGGCAACACGGGUUAGGGGACAGCGGCGAACGGGUGAGUAUCACGUGACCAACCUGCCCCAAACACUGGGAUAAGCCCGGGAAACUGGGUCUAAUACCGGAUACCCUCUCUGCACCGCAUGGUGCGCUGAGGAAAGGUCCGCCGGUUUGGGAUGGGGUCGCGGCCUAUCAGCUUGUUGGUGAGGUAAUGGCUCACCAAGGCAACGACGGGUAGCUGGCCUGAGAGGACGAUCAGCCACACUGGGACUGAGACACGGCCCAGACUCCUACGGGAGGCAGCAGUGGGGAAUAUUGGACAAUGGGGGCAACCCUGAUCCAGCCAUGCCGCGUGUGUGAAGAAGGCCCUAGGGUUGUAAAGCACUUUCAAUUGGGAAGAAAAGCUGUUGGCUAAUACCCAACAGCCCUGACAUUACCUUUAGAAGAAGCACCGGCUAACUCCGUG